RNAcentral lists this transfer RNA (86 nucleotides) under Felis catus (domestic cat). It matches the Rfam family "tRNA". Rfam says of the family: Transfer RNA (tRNA) molecules are approximately 80 nucleotides in length. Their secondary structure includes four short double-helical elements and three loops (D, anti-codon, and T loops). Further hydrogen bonds mediate the characteristic L-shaped molecular structure. tRNAs have two regions of fundamental functional importance: the anti-codon, which is responsible for specific mRNA codon recognition, and the 3' end, to which the tRNAs corresponding amino acid is attached (by aminoacyl-tRNA synthetases). tRNAs cope with the degeneracy of the genetic code in two manners: having more than one tRNA (with a specific anti-codon) for a particular amino acid; and 'wobble' base-pairing, i.e. permitting non-standard base-pairing at the 3rd anti-codon position. The record is from Rfam by way of RNAcentral. Lineage: Eukaryota; Metazoa; Chordata; Mammalia; Carnivora; Felidae.
GCCUGGGUGGCUCAGUCGGUUGAGCGUCUGACUUCAGCUCAGGUCAUGAUCUCAUAGGUUCAUGAGUUCGAGCCCUGUGUCGGGCU